CCCAACAGCUAGCCCACCCACCCAAAAAUAACAACCACCAUUAAUAUCCCCUCAAACCAAACCCCCCCCAUCAAACAAAACAUUUUCCCUCCUUAGUAUGGGAGACAGAAAAGGACCUUCAUUGGCGCUAUAGAGAAAGUACCGCAAGGAAAAGCUGAAAGAGAAAUGAAACAACCCAGUAAAGUAAAAAAAAGCAGAGAUUCGCCCUCGUACCUUUUGCAUCAUGAUUUAGCCAGUCCCCCUCAAGCAAAGAGCCCUUUAGUUUGAGCCCCCGAAACUAAGCGAGCUACUCCAAGACAGCCUAUCAUAGGGCAAACCCGUCUCUGUGGCAAAAGAGUGGGAAGAGCUUUGAGUAGAGGUGACAGACCUACCGAGCUUAGUUAUAGCUGGUUGCCUAAAAAAUGAAUAGAAGUUCAGCCUUUUAGCUUCUUCCUUUCAAAAUGGAGCUCCUCCACCAAAUAAAAAGAAAUUAAAAGAGUUAUUCAAGAGGGGGACAGCCCUCCUGAAAAAAGACACAACUUUAUUAAGCAGGCAAAAGAACAAAAGACCCAAGGCAUUAUAUUCUAGUGGGCCUAAAAGCAGCCACCAACACAGAAAGCGUUAAAGCUCAGAUAUUCUCCACCCUUAAUUCCGACAACAACAUCUUAAGCCCCUUAAUUUAUUAGGCCUUCCCAUGCAAACAUGGGAGAGAUCCUGCUAACAUGAGUAAUAAGAGGGCCAGCCCCUCUCCAAGCACCCGCGUACAUCAGAACGAACCCCCACUGAAAAUUAACGUCCCCAACCAAAGAGGGCAUUGAACACACACACCCAUAAGACUAGAAAAUUCCUCAGCAAAUUAAACGUUAACCCUACACAGGUGUGCCCAAGGAAAGACUAAAAGAAAAAGAAGGAACUCGGCAAACACUGGCCUCGCCUGUUUACCAAAAACAUCGCCUCUUGCCCCACAAGUAUAAGAGGUCCCGCCUGCCCUGUGACGAGAAGUUUAACGGCCGCGGUAUUUUGACCGUGCGAAGGUAGCGUAAUCACUUGUCUUUUAAAUGAAGACCGGUAUGAAUGGCAUAACGAGGGCUAAGCUGUCUCCUUUUUCCAGUCAAUGAAAUUGAUCUGCCCGUGCAGAAGCGGGCAUGCGCCCAUAAGACGAGAAGACCCUAUGGAGCUUUAGACACCAGAACAGCCCACGUUAAGCCCCUUCUAUCAAGAAAAUAAACUAAAUGAUGCCUGUUCCCCUGUCUUUGGUUGGGGCGACCGCGGGGCAACAAAAAUCCCCCACGUGGAAUAAGAGACAUUUCCUUAAAGCCAGAGCCACAGCUCUAACAUACAGAAUUUCUGACCAACAAGAUCCGGCACCGCCGAUCAACGGACCGAGUUACCCUAGGGAUAACAGCGCAAUCCCCUUUUAGAGCCCAUAUCGACAAGGGGGUUUACGACCUCGAUGUUGGAUCAGGACAUCCUAAUGGUGCAGCCGCUAUUAAGGGUUCGUUUGUUCAACGAUUAAAGUCCUACGUGAUCUGAGUUCAGACCGGAGAAAUCCAGGUCAGUUUCUAUCUAUGAAGUGCUCUUUUCUAGUACGAAAGGACCGAAAAGAAGAGGCCUCUGCUACAAGCAAGCCUCCCCCUUACCUGAUGAAGCCAGCUAAAACAGGUAAAAGGGCACACCCUCCCAGCCCAAGAAAAGGGCAA
RNAcentral lists this ribosomal RNA (1679 nucleotides) under Bostrychus sinensis (four-eyed sleeper). RNAcentral's name for it is "16S ribosomal RNA". It matches the Rfam family "Bacterial large subunit ribosomal RNA". The record is from RNAcentral. Lineage: Eukaryota; Metazoa; Chordata; Actinopteri; Gobiiformes; Eleotridae.